CGGUACCUGACUAAGAAGCCCCGGCUAACUACGUGCCAGCACCGCGGUAAUACGUAGGGGGCAAGCGUUAUCCGGAUUUACUGGGUGUAAAGGGAGCGUAGACGGCACGGCAAGCCAGAUGUGAAAGCCCGGGGCUCAACCCCGGGACUGCAUUUGGAACUGCUGAGCUAGAGUGUCGGAGAGGCAAGUGGAAUUCCUAGUGUAGCGGUGAAAUGCGUAGAUAUUAGGAGGAACACCAGUGGCGAAGGCGGCUUGCUGGACGAUGACUGACGUUGAGGCUCGAAAGCGUGGGGAGCAAACAGGAUUAGAUACCCUGGUAGUCCACGCCGUAAACGAUGACUGCUAGGUGUCGGGUGGCAAAGCCAUUCGGACUGCCGCAGCUAACGCAAUAA
RNAcentral lists this ribosomal RNA (392 nucleotides) under uncultured bacterium. RNAcentral's name for it is "bacterial SSU rRNA". It matches the Rfam family "Bacterial small subunit ribosomal RNA", at positions 473 to 863 of the family's 1533-position model. The record is from RNAcentral.